UCCUGCCUGGUGACCGCUGGGCUUCUCUGGUCAGCCGCCCCCCUCCCGCCCUGGGGACCACGCUGCAGACCCCCGCGGCGCCUGCGGGGACGGGGUCCUGCAGCCCGGGGAGGAGUGUGACGACGGGAACGACGACGGCGGCGACGACUGCAUCGGCUGUCGCCGGGCCUACUGUGGAGACGGCCACCAGCACCGCGGCGUGGAGGGCUGCGACGGCUCUGACUUUGGCUCCCUGACGUGCGAGACCUAUCUCCCAGGGUCAUACGGAGACCUGCGGUGCACCCCGUACUGCUCCAUCGACUCCACGCCCUGCCGCUACUUCACCUGAGGGCCGCCCGGAGGAGGCGCCGCGCCCCGCGGCCCCGGCGGCGCUCCUCACCGCGUCCGCCCACUGCGCACCGUCCAGCCCAGUCGCAACCCGCCUCCGAGUGGCGGAACGAAAACCAACUCUUGCCUCCGAGACACGCUUUUAACUCGACCCGACGGAGGGGCCUGGGGCCGCGGCGCCCGCCUUCGCCCAAGUGCACCCGCCAAGCCCGGCCC
This 543-nucleotide long non-coding RNA is filed under the name Dasypus novemcinctus (nine-banded armadillo). Its description in RNAcentral is "lncRNA (ENSDNOG00000051687.1)". The record is from RNAcentral. Lineage: Eukaryota; Metazoa; Chordata; Mammalia; Cingulata; Dasypodidae.